RNAcentral lists this ribosomal RNA (253 nucleotides) under uncultured bacterium. Its description in RNAcentral is "partial 16S ribosomal RNA". It matches the Rfam family "Bacterial small subunit ribosomal RNA", at positions 524 to 776 of the family's 1533-position model. The record is from RNAcentral.
UACGGGGGGGGCAAGCGUUGUUCGGAAUUACUGGGCGUAAAGGGCUCGUAGGCGGCCAACUAAGUCAGACGUGAAAUCCCUCGGCUUAACCGGGGAACUGCAUCUGAUACUGGAUGGCUUGAGAUUGGGAGAGGGAUGCGGAAUUCCCGGUGUAGCGGUGAAAUGUGUAGAGAUCGGGAGGAACACCGGUGGCGAAGGCGGGUCUCUGGGCAUUUCCUGACGCUGAGGCGCGAAAGCGUGGGGAGCAAACGGG